RNAcentral lists this non-coding RNA (589 nucleotides) under Eurypyga helias (sunbittern). RNAcentral describes it as "Eukaryotic small subunit ribosomal RNA". It matches the Rfam family "Eukaryotic small subunit ribosomal RNA", at positions 614 to 1116 of the family's 1831-position model. Lineage: Eukaryota; Metazoa; Chordata; Aves; Eurypygiformes; Eurypygidae. The record is from Rfam by way of RNAcentral.
UGCAGGUAAGAAGCUUGAAUUAAUAUCCUUAACUCUGGCCUUUAUGGACUACAACAUAACCUUAUCCCCCCAAUAGUGCAGUGGGCUACAGAACUUCUUCUGUUCACUUAGUAUUAAUAAGUUGACAUAUUUUGUAAAUUAUUGCUUAGUAAAUACCUUAACAAGUUUCAAGUAGUUUAUUGGAAUUUUAAGGUUGAAAUGCCAUAAAGUUUUACAUUUCAUGUUCAGACUUGAUAUCUGUGUGGCUUCAGAACAGAGUCAAAUUUACAAAACAUCUUCUGUAAUAGGACUCUGGUUCUAUUAUGUUGGUUUUCAGAAGCAGGGCCAUGAUUAAUAGAGAUGGUUGGAAGCAUUUGCAUUCUGUUGCUAGAAUUGAAAUUCUUGGACCAACAUAAGAUGGCCUAGAGUGAAAGCAUUUGCCAAGAAUGUUCUCAUUAAUCAAGAAUGAAAGUCACAUCUUCGAAGAUCAUCAGAUACCACUGUAGUUCCAAUCAUAAACAAUGCCAACUGGCAAUAAGUUUUUUGGGGACAUCUCUGUGGCAUAAUUGGUUAGUGCCUUCAGCUGUAAAUUAAAAGGUUGGUGGUUCAG